CAUGUGUUCAGCACCCUGAAAUAUUUGCGUAAAGUGCUUUAGUAUUUGCUGACUCUGCUGUUUCUCAGAUUGCCUGGGGGCAAAGUGGUGGGCAUCUUUGGAAAGCAGAAGCAGACUAUGGUCUUGCGAGGCUGUCCUGUGUCGGUCAUAUCUGGGGUGUGUAUGGCGUCCCCUUUCCUGAGGAAUUCCUGUCUCCAUACCACGUGUCAGUAGAUAGCUGUGAUCCCUGAGCACCAGAUACUUGUUGAAUGAAGGGAACCCAACUGGUUUUAGAAGAAGUCAGAUUUGGUUAUGGCUUUACCUGGUACUGCAGUAUUCACCUCACCGCAGCACCUUCUGCGCCUUUGGAGGCUGACUCCUUGAAGGUGGCAGACUCCUGGGUCUUCUCAUCCCAUGCCUCUCCCUGUAAGUGAUAAGGCUGCGUUAAUCUGUAUUCCCUGCAAUCUCAGAGCUGGAC
Molecule: long non-coding RNA, 457 nt
Filed under: Calidris pugnax (ruff)
Lineage: Eukaryota; Metazoa; Chordata; Aves; Charadriiformes; Scolopacidae
Description: lncRNA (ENSCPUG00000001639.1)
Source: RNAcentral